GAGAGAGGGAGCUCAGAGAAGAGUGCAGAAAGAAACAAGGCAACAAAGAGAGAGAUGAGGAGGCCACGGUGCUAAUGCUCUCUGGAGAUAAGCGAAGGAGGAGAGCUGGAAGGUAGGAUAGUGGUGGAGCUCUACAACAGCGUACUAACUGAGCACAGUGAAUUAGUUGGUGAAUGAGGGUCUUUUGGGCCGCAAUUGGCAUCAGAUGCUGAAAGACGAAGGCGGUGAUGGUGAUGUUCCUUCCCUGGAGAACCAGUCGGGCAACGCCAACAAUGGUGAUCAAACUCCAGAAUCCUCUGCAAAUAUGUCAACUGCUUUGGAACAUAACAAGAUACCAUCACUGAGAAAAGCUCUAAAAGAUGCGGCGAUGGAGAAAGAUGCAUUAGUUGUUUGUAGGAGGAUCUGUUUGCACAACUUCGUACACUCAGGAAACAGAUAAAGGAAGCAACAGAGGAACAAUAUUGAGGAUAGGCUAAAUUUGCAAGAAUACCUCCACAGCAAAGGCACUCCAAUAGCCUUUGCAUUACACUGAUAUGAAGUCUUUGUCACCGCUAAGUUCAUGAUGAUAAGUUAGAAGACAGAGAGCCAUGAAUUGCUUGGUAAGGCUGGGGUAGAAUUUGGGUUCAAUCAUCCAAUGGGUGGCCUCAGAAUUCCCUUUGGAGAAGACGUCUUACUAGAACCAGCGUGACAAUGUUGGAUUCAUGCGCAUGCAUCUCUCUUUUUGGCAGAAGAGAUGGGAUGGAUGAUGUCUCAAGAACAGUAUAGUCAUCAGAAUGCUUUUGUCCGGGAUUGUUCAGGCUAAGCAGAUGCUCUAGGUUGCAGAUGGCUCCAGAUGUACUGAAAGGACACUUUUCUUUCACAUUCCAGAAACCAAAAGAAGGCAUUUCUUGGUUCCGAUGUCAAACUUGAAGCACCCCUAAUCUCCAGGCUGAAGAAUUGCUCGGCUUCAAAAAUCCUAUGGAUACUCUCAUAAACUCCAUGUGGAGAAGCUUAUAUCGAUCUCGCAUGUACAACAAAUGGCUUAUUGGUUUAUGAGAGAUGAAAUAUAUUGGUUUAUAAGGCAUUGUAAAUUUAUUGCUUUUGUGAUGACAAUUGAGUUCUUAUACUUUCAACGCAAUUAUAUCAAA
Alnus glutinosa is the source of this 1127-nucleotide long non-coding RNA. RefSeq lists it as uncharacterized. The record is from RefSeq and is a predicted model, not a curated record. The transcript has 6 exons. Lineage: Eukaryota; Viridiplantae; Streptophyta; Magnoliopsida; Fagales; Betulaceae.